Molecule: long non-coding RNA, 236 nt
Organism: Nematolebias whitei (Rio pearlfish)
Lineage: Eukaryota; Metazoa; Chordata; Actinopteri; Cyprinodontiformes; Rivulidae
Exons: 3
Source: RefSeq, a predicted model, not a curated record
CCUGCUCAACGAGAGAACGUCUGCAGCUCUGAGGGAGAAGGAGGAGAGUUGUUCUGCAAGAGACCAGGCGGUGGACGAGCGACGACAGACGGAAGAGGAGCUGAAAGAAACGUGUUUGAAUCUCCGUGCUGCCAAACAAGAGAUCGGGGAUUUAAAUCUGCAGGCGACGAUUCUGACGUCGGAAAUGAGUGUCCUGAGACAAAAACUAACAGGAAAAGAGGAGGAGGCGUGUCAGC